AGCGAACGCCGGCGGCAGGCCUAAUACAUGCAAGUCGAGCGCCCCUUCGGGGGAGCGGCGGACGGGUGAGUAACGCGUGGGAACGUGCCCUUUGGUACGGAACAACUGAGGGAAACUUCAGCUAAUACCGUAUGUGCCCUUCGGGGGAAAGAUUUAUCGCCAUUGGAGAGGCCCGCGUUGGAUUAGGUAGUUGGUGGGGUAAAGGCCCACCAAGCCUACGAUCCAUAGCUGGUCUGAGAGGAUGAUCAGCCACACUGGGACUGAGACACGGCCCAGACUCCUACGGGAGGCAGCAGUAGGGAAUCUUGCGCAAUGGGCGAAAGCCUGACGCAGCCAUGCCGCGUGUAUGAUGAAGGUCUUAGGAUUGUAAAAUACUUUCACCGGGGAAGAUAAUGACGGUACCCGGAGAAGAAGCCCCGGCUAACUUCGUGCCAGCAGCCGCAGUAA
This 447-nucleotide ribosomal RNA is filed under the name uncultured bacterium. Its description in RNAcentral is "partial 16S ribosomal RNA". It matches the Rfam family "Bacterial small subunit ribosomal RNA", at positions 29 to 523 of the family's 1533-position model. The record is from RNAcentral.